CACAGAGACGUGGCUCUGCCAGCGCCGUGUUCGACAGCAGUUUUCCAGUGCCGCUGCGGUGUGCGUUCCCCGCACGGUCUGCAAAGGGAUUUUCUCGCGUGCCAGCUCCAGCCCUGCUCCCGCUGACCCCUUGCGUGGUCUGUGGCAGGACCAUAGUGGGUAGCCGCGUCGGUGGCUCCCCCUUUUUCCUUUGAGUUCCCCUACCCUUUGUUCCUUCCUGUCCUUUUGGGAUUAAGGAUCACUUCUUAUGAGACUGCUUCCAGGCUCCUGGCCUGCAAGACCCCAGUGAAAAACAGUCACUCCAGGAUGAACUGGCAAAAGCUGUGUAUGCUGGACAGGAGGACUGGAUCUGUCCCAYGGGCUUGAGCUGAGGAGUUUCAGGAUUAUUUGAGGUCUAGCUGGAAAAGAACAGAUGUUCUGCAAAUGACACUGAAAACCCCUCGACUUGCUGAGACUCGGACCUGCCUGUGCCUCCCUGCAUGCAAAAACUGACUAACGGGAAGGAUUUGGAAUAAGGACAGGCUUCCCUCUUGUGAAAAAAAAAUGCCCCACAAUAAACUCUC
RNAcentral lists this long non-coding RNA (563 nucleotides) under Apteryx rowi (Okarito brown kiwi). RNAcentral's name for it is "lncRNA (ENSARWG00000018301.1)". Lineage: Eukaryota; Metazoa; Chordata; Aves; Apterygiformes; Apterygidae. The record is from RNAcentral.